Molecule: ribosomal RNA, 415 nt
Filed under: Oxylipeurus chiniri
Lineage: Eukaryota; Metazoa; Arthropoda; Insecta; Psocodea; Philopteridae
Description: SSU rRNA
Rfam family: Eukaryotic small subunit ribosomal RNA
Source: RNAcentral
GCAAGACUGACCUAAGCGAAAGCAUUUGCCAAGGAUGCUUCCAUUAAUCAAGAACGAAAGUUAGAGGUUCGAAGGCGAUCAGAUACCGCCCUAGUUCUAACCGUAAACGAUGCCAGCCAGCGAUCCGUCGAAGUUCCUCCGAUGACUCGACGGGCAGCUUCCGGGAAACCAAAGCUUUUAGGUUCCGGGGGAAGUAUGGUUGCAAAGCUGAAACUUAAAGGAAUUGACGGAAGGGCACCACCAGGAGUGGAGCUUGCGGCUUAAUUUGACUCAACACGGGAAACCUCACCAGGCCCGGACACUGGAAGGAUUGACAGAUUGAGAGCUCUUUCUUGAUUCAGUGGGUGGUGGUGCAUGGCCGUUCUUAGUUGGUGGAGCGAUUUGUCUGGUUAAUUCCGAUAACGAACGAAGACUC